UCCACAGAAUAAAGGUGUACUAUGCCAUGCCUUAGAUUUACGUUUUUAUAGAAAAAGAAAAGAAAGCAAAUCAAAAUGCUAUUGUUAAAGCCCUAUCCUAUCUUUUAAAAAUAGCAAAGCCCUAUCUGGACACAAACUUCUAUUAGAUAUUUACAUCCUAUUUUAUUCAAAUUGGGCCUCACUAACAUGUGACAGAACCUGAUAAAACAAAAUAAAAAUAUGUUGUUGGCAUGUGACAACAUAUGCAAGCAGCUGACUGAGCAGCUUGUUGCCAAUUUUCAAAUAAGUGGAUAAGCAACUUGUAAGCUCCUUGCAAGCAUGUGGAUAAGCUCCUUGUAGGUUUCUACUAAGUAGCUGGAUAAGCAGCUUACAGGCAAACUUUUUUGAGAGGGUAAUUCAUUUGAGAGAGUUUUGCGGUAAACUCGAGAAGGUAAUUCUAUGGAGCUUGUGGAGUUCUUUGUCUUCCAAGCUUCUCUUUGGCGGUCUGGUGAAGUAACUCUUCUUAUUGGAUGAAUCUUUGCAUUCUGGUGGGUUGAUUUUAGUUGGAUGCUUUUGAUGACAUUGGUGACUACAUCUCUCAAGAUUUCAUAUGAUAAUUUAUAUUCUUUUAUCGCUUGCUGGACGUCAUCCCAGUGGGGAUAAUCAUCAAUGUAGUUCAACUUUUCUCAUUGCUGUGGCUAAAUUUCUUUUGGAAUGCAUCUAUUUUGCGGGAAGAUAAAGCGGUGUGCUUCAUAAUAUUCAACAUCCAAAGAGAGAAAUGACAGAAAAAGUUUUUAGCAGAGUGAAAUUUUUAGCUGAGCUUGGAAGUCAUGGUUCGUGAUUCCCAUUGAAUGAUGAUGCAUGAAUACCGUUGCAUCGAAGAAAUCUUUCAAGCAUCAAACCCAAUAUUAUCGUGGCUUAAACCACAACAUGAACUUUUUUAGAGCUUUUUGGAUUUGAUCAAAGUGCCUAAAGGCAUUGGACUUGAACUCCAUUAAGAUGUAGUAUUGAUGACACAUGUACCAAAAUAACCAUAGGAGUUCUUGUCGGAAGUCAUUGGCUAGUGCAAUGAACACAUGACAGAAGAAAUAUUCUGGGUGUACACCAAACGAAUUCAGAAUGGAUCGUCUAUAUUUUGCGAA
This is a long non-coding RNA of Capsicum annuum, 1121 nucleotides long. RefSeq lists it as uncharacterized. The record is from RefSeq and is a predicted model, not a curated record. The transcript has 2 exons. Lineage: Eukaryota; Viridiplantae; Streptophyta; Magnoliopsida; Solanales; Solanaceae.